ACCCUCUCAGGGUCGCACCUGGAGAGUUUCCAGUACUCUACCAGUCUCGGCUGUGGGAAGGUAAGUGAAGCAGGGGCAUACCCAUUCCAUUCCUAACUUGGGCAGUGGCUAGCGAGUGGAAACAAUCUGCUACAAGG
Small nucleolar RNA from Tachyglossus aculeatus (Australian echidna), 137 nucleotides. The record is from RefSeq and is a predicted model, not a curated record. Lineage: Eukaryota; Metazoa; Chordata; Mammalia; Monotremata; Tachyglossidae.